UCUUUCUUAGUAUAUAUUAUGAGUACAUUUGAUUUCGAACCAAAUAGAUAUUAGAAAGAA
Molecule: transfer RNA, 60 nt
Filed under: Alcedoecus sp.
Lineage: Eukaryota; Metazoa; Arthropoda; Insecta; Psocodea; Philopteridae
Description: tRNA-Arg
Source: RNAcentral